GGAUUCACCUUUUGCCAUUCUCAAAAACAAGUCACCCUGGUAUUUUUUGGUGGAGCUCCGCCCUGUGCGUGCAAUUUCAUCAGUUUGAUGGCAGCCGUUCUAGCAUCUUUGCUUGGAUCAUGUGCCAAUAUAAGUUGAAAGAUAUCAUUAUUGAUGAGGCCAUACUAAUCUUAGGGGUGGAAAAGGAGCUCACUGAAGUGCUGCGAAGAGUAGAACUAAUACGGUGUUGCAUACAUGAUGCUGAGAAAAGGAGGACAAAAGAGCAAGCAGUAAACAAUUGGCUUGGUCAACUGAGAGAUCUUAUAUAUGAUGUUGAUGAAAUCUUGGAUGUGGCUAGAUGUAAAGGAAGCAACCUACUUGCUGAUGACCCUUCACCAUCAUCUGGCAAAUCAGUUGCAUGUAAAGGCCUUUCAGUUUCCUCUUGUUUUUGCAACAUCGGGCCACAUCAUGAUGUUGUUGUUCGGAUUACAAGCCUCAACAAGAAGAUACAGAACAUUUUGCAUGACAACUGAAUUGCAGGUGUUCUUGCUUCAAUAAAGAAAUACUGAGAGGGAGCUCAGUUUCUCUCAAUACAGAACAUGUACAAGCAGGACGACGCGGCGGGCUUGAUCAGCUUAAGCUAUCCAUUCAUUGGCACGGACGAAUGCUAUUUGCUAGUUAAUUAAGCAGUAUGUGUUGACAAUAAGAAGCCAGUGGGCAAAGCAGCUAAUGGGUACCUCGCCAAUCUCUUUCUCACCUUCCCAGCUAAUGGCCAUCCUUCGUCUUCGCGGACUCUGCUAUCUAGCCUGCAGUGUUUACGCAAGCAGGGGGAGGGGCUGUAGCAGCUAUUAAUCAGAUCUGCGCCUAGUUUGCAUCAUCCAUGGCGACCAUACUAGAAGCUCUGCUUCGAUCAUGUGCCAGUAAGUUGCAAGAUAUCGUUACCAAUGAAGCCAUACUAAUCUUAGGGGUGGAAGAAGAGCUCGCAAAACUGCUGCAACGAGUUGAACUAAUUCAGUGCUGUAUAUAUGAUGCUGAGAAAAGGAGGGCAAAAGAGUUGGCAGUAAACAAUUGGCUUGGCCAACUGAGAGAUGUUAUAUAUGAUGUUGAUGAAAUUCUGGACGUGGCUAGAUGCAAAGGAAGCAAGCUACUGCCUAACCACCCUUCAUCAUCAUCAAGCAACUCGGCUGCAUGUAAAGGUCAUUCGGUUUUCCCUUGCUUUCGUAACAUUGGUUCACGUCGUGACGUUGCUGUUCGGAUUAGAACCCUCAACAAAAAGGUAGAGAACAUUUCAAAGGACAAAAUAUUCUUAACAUUCAACAGUAGUGCACAACCUAAUGGAAGUGGUCCAACAUCCAAACUGAUAAGAAGUUCCAACCUUGUUGAGCCCAACCUUGUGGGAAAGGAAAUCAUACAUUCUAGCAGGAAGUUGGUGGACUUGGUGCUUGCAAACAAGGAAAAGAAGUCUUACAAGCUUGCUGUUGUUGGAACCGGAGGAGUCGGUAAGACAACACUAGCUCAGAAAGUAUACAAUGACCAAAAAAUAAAAGGAAGCUUCAAGAUGCAUGCUUGGAUUUGUGUUUCGCAAGACUACAGUGAAGUAACUCUUUUGAAGGAGGUGCUCCGAAAUAUUGGUGUGCAUCAUGAGCAAGGUGAAACCAUAACUGAGCUGCAGAGAAAGCUUGCAGAAACAAUAGAAGGAAAGAGUUUCUUUCUGGUUCUAGAUGAUGUAUGGCAUUCCAAUGUAUGGAUGGAUCUAUUAAGGCCUGCAUUACACAAAACAACAUCUGGAGUAAUGUUGGUAACCACACGAGAUGAUCAAAUUACAAGGAGAAUAGGCGUAGAGCAUACCCAUCGAGUUGAUCUCAUGUCAGUAGAGGUGGGAUGGGAGCUACUUUGGAAGAGCAUGAAUAUUGAUGAGAAAGAAGUGCAGAAUUUAAGAAACACGGGGAUUGAGAUUAUCCGUAAAUGCGGUUGCCUCCCUCUUGCAAUCAAAGUUACUGCCAGUGUUCUGGCAAGCAGGGAUCGAACAGAUAAUGAGUGGAAAAAGAUUUUGAGAAGAUAUGCUUGCUCCCAGAACAUGCUCUCUAAUGAAAUAGAAGGAGCUUUGUAUCUAAGCUACGAUGAGUUACCAUAUCGUCUGAAGCAGUGUUUCCUUUAUUGUGCAUUGUAUAUUGAAGAUUCUACCAUUCUGCGCCGUGUAAUUACCAGGUUAUGGAUUGCUGAAGGCUUCAUUGAGGAGCAACAAGGCCAACUUCUAGAAGACACAGCAGAGGAGUACUACUAUGAGCUAAUCCAUCGGAAUCUCCUCCAACCAGAUAACGGAUCUUUUAACCAGGCUGAAUGCAAAAUGCAUGACCUCUUAAGACAGCUUGCUUUGAGUAUAUCAAAAGAAGAGUGUUUUAUUGGUGAUAUUGAAACAUUAAGUGGUGAGAAUAUGUCAAAACUACGACGAGUUACUGCCGUGAGUAAGAAGGAAGAAUUAGUGUUGCCUAGCAUGAAUAAGGUGGAAGCUAAGGUGAGGACUUUCUUUACUGUUCAUGGUCCACGGAGCAUUGAGUAUUCAUUGUUCAAGAGAUUUUUGCUUCUUCGUGUUUUGGUACUGAAUUACUCACUUGUACAAAGCAUUCCAGAUUAUAUAGGAAGACUGAUACAUCUACGCCUACUUGAUCUUGAUUAUACUGGCAUAUCUUGUCUUCCGGAAUCCAUUGGCUCCCUACAAAACCUUCAAAUUUUGAGCUUGAAUUAUUGUGAUGCUUUGCACAAUCUUCCUUCGGCGAUAUCCCAAUUGUACAGUUUAAGAUGCCUUAGUCUUCUUGAUACAAAAAUAAAUCAAGUUCAGAAAGGGAUAGGAAAACUGAAGUUCCUCACUGAUUUACGAGGGUUUCCGGUUGGGGCGGGAAUUGAAAAUGCUGAUGUACAAGAUGGAUGGAAGUUGGAAGAGUUGUCAUCUUUGUCAUUGCUGAGGUAUCUUACGUUGGUUAAAUUGGAAAGAGCGGCUUGCUAUAGUACAAAUACAUUACUGACGAACAAAAACCAUCUAAAAGGACUAGUACUGGACUGGACAUCAUAUUCAGAAGAUGUUAGCACCGAGGAGGUCUUUGAGCAGCUAAUACCUCCAAGCAACCUGGAAACCCUACAUAUUAUUGGAUUCCUUGGUCGGCAAUACCCCAACUGGUUUGGUAACACUUGUUUGUCUUCGCUGGCACAUGUGACCCUUAGAAAUCUACGAUGUGUGGAUCUUCCACCUAUUGGCCAGCUACCCAACUUGAAAUUUCUAAGAAUUGAUGGAGCAUAUGCAGUUACCAAGGUUGGCCCUGAAUUUGUUGGUUGCGGGAAGGGUGAUCCCCUAUGCAACGAAUUAGUCGCUUUUCCUAAACUUGAAUGGUUAGUCCUCAAGCAUUUGCCCAACUGGGAGGAGUGGUCUUUUUUUGAAGAAAAAGAAGAAGCAGAAGAUGCUGAUGAUGAAGGGGGAGCAAAUGGAGUUGCUGAGAUUCAAAAGGAGGACGCCCAAUCUGCAAGGUCGCGUCUGUUUCCUCGUUUGGUGAGGUUGAAACUUGAAGGCUGCUUAAAGCUGAGGGCUCUACCGCGACAACUUGGAGAGGACACUGUCAGCUUGAGGAAGCUCGAAUUAAUUAGAACAAACAACUUGAAGGCCGUGGAGGACUUCCCACACCUCACUGAGCUCCUUCAUAUUGAGAAAUGUGAAGGCCUGGAGAAGGUCUCCAAUCUCCCUCAAGUGACAGACCUGCAAGUACGUGGUUGUCUGAACUUAAGCCGUGUAGAGGGGCUGGGCAGUUUGCAGCAGCUGGGGCUGGGCGAGGAUACGCAAGAGAUCUCUUCCCACUGGGUGCUUGGGCUUCAAAACCAGCACCAGCGACUUUAUGGCGAAGACCUGGAUGUCUACUCGUUGUCUACCAGUUAGAUGGCUCAAGCGUAGGACUGAUGGUGUGGCUCACUUCCACGGGCAGACGUGCUAAUUAAGUUGAGGAAGCCUGCCAUUGCUGAAGAUGCGCGAGUACCAUGAUGGAUGUGCAACGAGCUGGUGAAGAAAGAAACUGUCCUGUUUUCCUUUGGGCAUACUGUAUCGAGUUUUGUUUUGUUUAUUUCCAAAUUUGGGCCAGAGGCCUUUGCUGUACUGAAUCUCCUGCCCGUGUGGUAUUGUUUCACUUAUUUAUUCCUGAACUUGGGGCUGGUGGCCUUUGCUGUACUGAACAAGUGUGGCAUGGUAUCGUUCUUUUAAUUGAACCGAUGGAUUUCGUUUAAG
Molecule: ribosomal RNA, 4243 nt
Filed under: Triticum aestivum (bread wheat)
Lineage: Eukaryota; Viridiplantae; Streptophyta; Magnoliopsida; Poales; Poaceae
Description: partial small subunit ribosomal RNA
Source: RNAcentral